CACUCCAGCCCGGGUGACAAUGCACGACUCCAUCUUAAAAAAAAAAAAAAAAUUAAGAUAACCUGUGGGUGAUUGUCACGUGCACCUGGAUAAAAAUGACUUUUAGGUCAGAAAGUGCCAGAAGGUGAGAAAUUUGGAUUCAUCUUAAAGCAUUGGGGGAUUUAUCCUACUGCAAUGAAUAGCCAUUGAAGAAUUUUAAGCAAGAAGUGAUGUGAUUAAACUUAUAGAAAUGUGGAAAAUGGAUUAGAGAGUGAGACUGUAUCCAUAGAGGUAUGUUGGAAUAGUCUGUGUGAGAGUUGUUUUAGCCUAAAUUUAAGCAGUAAUGGGAGGGAUAAUGAGAAGAAGUUUGAGAGAUACUAAAAGUGAAAAGUUAACAGACUUGAUUUUAUUUAGACAGUGCAGUCAUGUAUGUAAUUAUACAAUAUUCUUUCAGCCACAAAAGGCAGAUUACUAGGUUAUCCUUCAAACAGAUAAGGGCUGUAUGAAAUAGAUACUGCCCCUACUACUUCUUAAGUCUUUCACCUACUGUUCUAAAUGAAGAAGACAAUGGGAAGCCACUGAAGGACUGUUAACCAGAAGGGUCACAAUCACAUCCACGUUUUAAAGCUAUUAGUUUGGCUAUAAUAAUAAUAAGAGAUUGGAAGGGCACGUAUUGGAGGCAGGAAGGCAGUUGGAAGGAAGACUGCUGUAGUAAUUGGAACCAAAGAUGAUGAUACUGUAAGUGAUUGAUAGUGUCAGUGAGGAUGGAGAAGAAGGCAAGGAUUUGAAAAAGAAGUAGGAGGUAGACUGAGCAAGACUUGGAGUCUUAUUCUAACUGGGGAUUAAAGAUGACCUGAAGGUUUCUAACAUGAGUGACUUUGAUGCUUGAUGACACCAUUUCCCUAAAAAAGAUUAUAGGCCGCGGAAAAUGGUGCCUCGCAGCUUGGGUAGUCUUACAAUCCUGGUGCUUUGGGCUGCUGCCCUGCUCCUUGCUCUGGGCGUGGAAAGGGCUCUGGCGCUGCCCGAGGUACAGAAGCAAGUUUGAGGUCGAGCUGAAGCAGGGUUGAUGGCCAGCCAUGCGUCGUGCUUGCCUGCGGUUCCCUCUUCCCCUCUGCUGGCCUGCAGCUCUGAUUUCAUCCCCGACGCUUUCCGGCCCUGCCCAGCCAGGUAUGCACCCAGUGUCCCUGGAGUGUGCAAAAUUUGUCCAAAGUGGCCCUUUGUUGUAAAACAACACGAAAGCUAAUGCUGCAUGCCCAUUGCUACCUGAAUCAGAAGGGCACCAUCUUGGGGCUAGAUCUCCAGAACUGUUCUCUGGAGGACCCUGGUCCAAACUUUCAUCAGGCACGUACCACUGUCAUCAUAGACCUGCAAGAAAACUCCCUCAAAGGUGACCUGGUCAACACCUUCCGUGGCUUUACUCAGCUCCAGACUCUGAUACUGACAGUUGACAGAUGUCAACUGUCCUGAAGGAAUUAAUGCUUGGAAUACUGCCACCUCUUAUAUAGACAACCAAAUCUGUCAAGGUCAAAAGAACCUUUGUAAUAACACUGGGAACCCAGAAAUGUGUCCUGAGAAUGGAUCUUGUGUACCUGAUGGUCCAGGUAUUUUUGCAGUGUGUUUGUGCUGAUGAUUUCCACAGAUAUAAGUAUAUGUGCCAGGGCUCGUUCUCACUGCUUAUGUUCUUUGGGAUUCUGGUAUCCACCACUCUAUCCAUCUCCAUUCUGUUUUAGGGGACCCAAUGCUGAAAAGCCAAGACUUCAUGAACCACAUAGGUCUUACCAUUGACCUAAGAUCAAUCUGAUGUAUGUUAGCCCAUCCAGGGAGCUCUGCUUCCUAGACAGGCAUCUUUGGCCAGUGGAUUUGCCUGAAGGUUGAGGCCGCUAUUGGAAGUUGAAAAAUUGCACUCCCCUGGUGUAGACAAGUACCAGUUCCCAUUUGUGUUGUUGUCUAUAAUAAACACUUUUUUCUUUAAAAAAAAAAAAA
Sapajus apella (tufted capuchin) is the source of this 1962-nucleotide RNA transcript. It is a transcript of the gene named all-trans retinoic acid-induced differentiation factor pseudogene, with no coding region annotated. The record is from RefSeq and is a predicted model, not a curated record. The transcript has a single exon. NCBI's taxonomy places the organism in Eukaryota, Metazoa, Chordata, Mammalia, Primates, Cebidae.